CUCUACAAUACAAUUUGUGUUUCCAAUAUAACUUAGUAUCCAUAUACUAUAGUUGUGUGUGAAACACUAUCAAGCAAGUUGACUCAGUAUUCAUAUACUGUAGUAAGCUUCAAAGAGUAAUACUUACAAUAUUAUAUCAAUUAAAAUAAUAAUAUCCUUAUAUCAUUACUGUUCAACCAUUUGUUUAUUAAGCAUUUACAGGUAAUUCCGCUAUCAACCUGUAUAAAUCGAAAAGAGGCUAUCACCCCCCCUUAUAGCCUCGGAUCACGAUCCAACA
This 277-nucleotide long non-coding RNA is filed under the name Zostera marina. Its description in RNAcentral is "long non-coding RNA (ZMAR_LNC002845)". Lineage: Eukaryota; Viridiplantae; Streptophyta; Magnoliopsida; Alismatales; Zosteraceae. The record is from RNAcentral.